This 678-nucleotide ribosomal RNA is filed under the name Salmonella enterica. RNAcentral's name for it is "partial 23S ribosomal RNA". It matches the Rfam family "Bacterial large subunit ribosomal RNA", at positions 2244 to 2915 of the family's 2925-position model. The record is from RNAcentral. Lineage: Bacteria; Pseudomonadati; Pseudomonadota; Gammaproteobacteria; Enterobacterales; Enterobacteriaceae.
GUUGCGGACAGUGUCUGGUGGGUAGUUUGACUGGGGCGGUCUCCUCCUAAAGAGUAACGGAGGAGCACGAAGGUUGGCUAAUCCUGGUCGGACAUCAGGAGGUUAGUGCAAUGGCAUAAGCCAGCUUGACUGCGAGCGUGACGGCGCGAGCAGGUGCGAAAGCAGGUCAUAGUGAUCCGGUGGUUCUGAAUGGAAGGGCCAUCGCUCAACGGAUAAAAGGUACUCCGGGGAUAACAGGCUGAUACCGCCCAAGAGUUCAUAUCGACGGCGGUGUUUGGCACCUCGAUGUCGGCUCAUCACAUCCUGGGGCUGAAGUAGGUCCCAAGGGUAUGGCUGUUCGCCAUUUAAAGUGGUACGCGAGCUGGGUUUAGAACGUCGUGAGACAGUUCGGUCCCUAUCUGCCGUGGGCGCUGGAGAACUGAGGGGGGCUGCUCCUAGUACGAGAGGACCGGAGUGGACGCAUCACUGGUGUUCGGGUUGUCAUGCCAAUGGCACUGCCCGGUAGCUAAAUGCGGAAGAGAUAAGUGCUGAAAGCAUCUAAGCACGAAACUUGCCCCGAGAUGAGUUCUCCCUGAGACUUAGAGUCUCCUGAAGGAACGUUGAAGACGACGACGUUGAUAGGCCGGGUGUGUAAGCGCAGCGAUGCGUUGAGCUAACCGGUACUAAUGAACCGUGAGG